UGGGGAAUUUUGGACAAUGGACGCAAGUCUGAUCCAGCCAUGCCGCGUGCGGGAAGAAGGCCUUCGGGUUGUAAACCGCUUUUGUCAGGGAAGAAACGCUCUGGGUUAAUACACUGGGGUAAUGACGGUACCUGAAGAAUAAGCACCGGCUAACUACGUGCCAGCAGCCGCGGUAAUACGUAGGGUGCAAGCGUUAAUCGGAAUUACUGGGCGUAAAGCGUGCGCAGGCGGUUAUGCAAGACAGAUGUGAAAUCCCCGGGCUCAACCUGGGAACUGCAUUUGUGACUGCAUCGCUAGAGUACGGCAGAGGGGGAUGGAAUUCCGCGUGUAGCAGUGAAAUGCGUAGAUAUGCGGAGGAACACCGAUGGCGAAGGCAAUCCCCUGGACCUGUACUGACGCUCAUGCACGAAAGCGUGGGGAGCAAA
RNAcentral lists this ribosomal RNA (425 nucleotides) under uncultured bacterium. RNAcentral describes it as "bacterial SSU rRNA". It matches the Rfam family "Bacterial small subunit ribosomal RNA", at positions 355 to 772 of the family's 1533-position model. The record is from RNAcentral.